UGACAGUGACAAAAAGGAAGCAGCCUUCUCUAGCCCACCCAAGUUUCCAUCAAAGGAGCAAGCCUAUGUCAGUAAGAAGAAAGCUGGCUAACCCUCCCACCCCUUGUUUAACUCCUCCAGCCCAUCCCACAUCAUUGUAGAGUGAAGAGACUGCGGUUAAUAUUCAGAAAGAGGCGCAGAGAACUGAAGGCUUUCCUGACUUGACACCGAAUAAUAACGAAGGCCUGUGUGCUUUGCAGCAGCCUCCACGUCAUCCUCUUCCAGGGCUCCGUCAGAGGACUAACAAUAUGCCACAAGAUGAUUGGCAGCAAGACACACCCAGUGAUGAAGGGAUGUGCUCUCCUUAAAUCACAGCCUAUUCAUCAGGUACUCCUGAGUGCUGUGUUAAGAAAUCCUGCCUACAAAGUUCCACUGAGGCUGAUAUAAAGAUGACUGUGAGAAACUGGCUGCGGCUGUCUGAGCAGAGACAGGAAUGGGGGCAGCAAAGGCGGGACAAGCAAGCAUCUUAAGUGAAAUAAUUGAUUGGACUGAUUCUGGAGUAUGACUUAUUCUGGAGGGAAUUUCUUAUUUUUGUUGCAGUUUGCUAUGGGACGGUUUCAAGGACAGGGAUUAGACUAGUUCUAGACUAAAAUAAAUGUAAGAGCUGUCCAAACUGAAAACAACUUGCACUGACAUAUCAUAAAAUACAUCAGUGUCUUUUGUGAUGCUUCAAAAUGCACACAAGUAAUGUUUUUAUUAAGACAUGUUAUUAAAACUAGUUAUAUUUCAGAAUUAAACUAAGGCCUAGUCCCGGUUUAAGAUAAUCCCUGUCCGGGAAACCACCCCAAAGUGUAAUUUGUGGAGUGUUAAAAUAAAUGAAACUGCCUUUGCAAAAACAAAGUAAAAAAAAAAUUCCAGAUG
Non-coding RNA from Misgurnus anguillicaudatus (oriental weatherfish), 900 nucleotides. The record is from RefSeq and is a predicted model, not a curated record. Lineage: Eukaryota; Metazoa; Chordata; Actinopteri; Cypriniformes; Cobitidae.